UACUUUUAAAAAAGUAAAUAAACUGUAAUAUUACCAUUGAUGUGUAUUGAUGAUGUACAGAAUUAAUUGGCAUGUACGGUUUACAAAGCGUAUUAUUCGUAUAGUUUGUCUUCAACACAUUUCUUUAGUAUUACUUUACAAUUGUUUAUUGUGUUCUUCCGUUUUUGAGAUAUUAAAGUUUUUGUUUCGUAUGUAUUCAUGUCACAGGUAUAGUGUAAUAAUUGUCAAAAUUUUUUUUUGUUAUGAUUAUUCUCAUGAGGGAAUAAUGAUAACUUCUUUAAUCUUUCAUCUGAAAAUGGCGAUUUACAUUACACAACUUUUGCCUAAAACUGCAUGUCGCAUGCAAACUGCUUACAACUUGAGUUGUAUUGUGUAAAUCAAGCACACAACUUACCUACGACAACGUAAGUAAGUUGUGUGUUUGAUUUACACAGUACAACUCAAGUUGUAAGCAGGUUGCAUGCGACAGUUUUAGGCAAAAGUUGUGUAAUGUUGUAAAUCUGCCUAUCAGUUUCUAUUCUAGAUGUUUAAAUCCAAACAUGCCAUCAUUUUCAACAUUUCAAAAAUUCAGCCCUGCCAAGUACGUCAAAAUUAAUUUGCAUAUCAAACUGAAACAUCUCAAAAACGUAGACAGAUUUGAAAAUAAUGCAAAAUACCUAUCAAUUACAGUUCUAAGAGGUCUUUCUAUUACAUGUCUAAAGAUCAACAUAAACUUUCUUUAAGGUUAUCCAUUAAAUCUACUCAGUUGUCUUCAUGAAAUUCAGUGGCGUGUACAACUUAGUACAAGGGUACUGCUCCCAAAGAUCCCCCUUUGCCAGCCAUUCGAGGCGCGGCUCCAUUUACGUAUCCACCGUUCCUGUAGCCUUUGUAUUGAACAGGAUGUUCCUUUCGUAAGUCGUACUCCUA
Paramuricea clavata is the source of this 906-nucleotide non-coding RNA. NCBI's taxonomy places the organism in Eukaryota, Metazoa, Cnidaria, Anthozoa, Malacalcyonacea, Plexauridae. The record is from the annotation of a GenBank genome assembly.